GCGCCAGUAGCUCACCGGGAUAGAGCAACGGCCUUCUAAGCCGUAGGUAGGGGGUUCGAGUCCCUCCUGGCGCG
RNAcentral lists this transfer RNA (74 nucleotides) under Myxococcales bacterium. RNAcentral's name for it is "tRNA-Arg". It matches the Rfam family "tRNA". Rfam says of the family: Transfer RNA (tRNA) molecules are approximately 80 nucleotides in length. Their secondary structure includes four short double-helical elements and three loops (D, anti-codon, and T loops). Further hydrogen bonds mediate the characteristic L-shaped molecular structure. tRNAs have two regions of fundamental functional importance: the anti-codon, which is responsible for specific mRNA codon recognition, and the 3' end, to which the tRNAs corresponding amino acid is attached (by aminoacyl-tRNA synthetases). tRNAs cope with the degeneracy of the genetic code in two manners: having more than one tRNA (with a specific anti-codon) for a particular amino acid; and 'wobble' base-pairing, i.e. permitting non-standard base-pairing at the 3rd anti-codon position. The record is from RNAcentral. Lineage: Bacteria; Pseudomonadati; Myxococcota; Myxococcia; Myxococcales.